CGCUGGCGGCGUGCCUAAUACAUGCAAGUCGAACGGUCUUUCUAUGGAAGCUUGCUUCCACUGAGAAGAUAGUGGCGAACGGGUGAGUAACACGUGGGUAACCUGCCCAUAAGAGGGGGGAUAACAUCCGGAAACGGGUGCUAAUACCGCAUAGUUUUCUUGAUCGCAUGAUCGGAAAGGAAAGACGGCCUUUGUGCUGUCGCUUAUGGAUGGACCCGCGGCGUAUUAGUUAGUUGGUGAGGUAAUGGCUCACCAAGACGAUGAUACGUAGCCGACCUGAGAGGGUGAUCGGCCACAUUGGGACUGAGACACGGCCCAAACUCCUACGGGAGGCAGCAGUAGGGAAUCUUCCGCAAUGGACGAAAGUCUGACGGAACAACGCCGCGUGAGUGAAGAAAAGGUUUUCGGAUCGUAAAACUCUGUUGUCAGAGAAGAACAAGUUGGAGAGUAACUGCUCCAGCCUUGACGGUAUCUGACCAGAAAGCCACGGCUAACUACGUGCCAGCCGCAGC
Molecule: ribosomal RNA, 512 nt
Filed under: uncultured bacterium
Lineage: Bacteria
Description: bacterial SSU rRNA
Rfam family: Bacterial small subunit ribosomal RNA
Source: RNAcentral